This 293-nucleotide ribosomal RNA is filed under the name uncultured bacterium. Its description in RNAcentral is "partial 16S ribosomal RNA". It matches the Rfam family "Archaeal small subunit ribosomal RNA", at positions 455 to 747 of the family's 1478-position model. The record is from RNAcentral.
GUGCCAGCCGCCGCGGUAAUACGGAGGGUGCAAGCGUUGUCCGGAAUCACUGGGCCUAAAGCGUCCGUAGCUGGCUGCGCAAGUCCGUCGGGAAAUCCAUCAGCCCAACUGAUGGGCGUCCGGCGGAAACUGCACGGCUUGGGACCGGAAGGCUCGAGAGGUACGUCCGGGGUAGGAGUGAAAUCCCGUAAUCCCGAACGGACCACCGAUGGCGAAAGCAUCUCGAGAAAACGGAUCCGACAGUGAGGGACGAAAGCUAGGGUCUCGAACCGGAUUAGAAACCCUAGUAGUCC